CUGGAAUGUGCUGCGGUGCUGAACCGCUGAGGCCAUUAUACCACCUACUGCCCACAGAAUCCACUGAGUGUGCUGCCGGGCCACUAUAAAGACUGUGGAGGAGGGAAUGUGGAGGCGCUGACUAACAAGAUGGAUGAGUUGUCUUCAUUGGCUAGGACAUAGGCUUAUGGGACUCUCUGAGAUGGGGCUUUAGCCUGAGCGUCGGCACCUGAGGCCAGCAGGAGCUUUCCAUAGUUGCCAACACGCCCCGGUUCUGACCAGUCGGCCUCCUCACUCCUCACCGUAUUUUGUUGGAUAAACCACUAUUUGUCACCACCAUUCUGAGUCCUGGUCCGCUUUUGGGUUUCGUCCCGAAUCCUGACACCACCAAACACAACAUAGCACCAGGAGUUGGUUGAUGAUUAGCUGGAAGAUCGACAUCAAUUUGUGCGUUGUCUGAGACCAUCCAAGUUCUCGAUCUCAUUAAUUUACCUGAAUUGUCCUUUGUCUUUUAUUGGCGAUCGCCACUGAGCUAAAAACUGAAAUGACAACUAAUGGUUGCGCAAAAACUGUUUAUUUUGAAUCCGCACUGAUAUGGAACACUCGGGUUAAUGUAACUAGGCACAAUACAUUAUGGCUCAAUAUAUUUGUUUGCAAUAUUCCUUCAAAGUAAAUCUGUUAUCAAUUUCUGGAAUGGACAUUCUCAAAACCCUUGAGUGAUUACAAUAUUGUUCAAAAAAAAAUGUCUGUAUAUUUCUGGUGUUAAAACACAUGUUAUUCAAAUGUCCAUCAUCAGCAAGAGCAGAAUCCUUUCGCUUUUCAUCAAUUUACCAUUUGGUAAAAUUACCGGCAGGGACGUAUUUACAUGAUUGCCUAUUCUACCA
This is a long non-coding RNA of Gasterosteus aculeatus aculeatus (three-spined stickleback), 863 nucleotides long. Lineage: Eukaryota; Metazoa; Chordata; Actinopteri; Perciformes; Gasterosteidae. The record is from Ensembl.